This 299-nucleotide long non-coding RNA is filed under the name Capsicum annuum. RNAcentral's name for it is "long non-coding RNA (CANN_LNC018412)". Lineage: Eukaryota; Viridiplantae; Streptophyta; Magnoliopsida; Solanales; Solanaceae. The record is from RNAcentral.
AGAUAUGUCUCAUAAUUGAGGUGAUUCAAGUGCAGAAGUUUAGAAUCUAAAUGGUAUGGUCCUUUCUGAUUGAACCAUAUAAGAGUUAAAAUUUGUGCAAGGACUUGAGAAGAGUCCGUUAGUGCUUCAAUGUGUAUUGAUUCCGAUGUAAACAUUGAUCUUGAUGGAAUCUUGCUUUUCAGCUUGAGGUAUUAAUUGCAUUUAGUCCCCUUCAAAUUUAUGUUACAAAUGUCUUGCUUAAGGGGGGAUGAUGUGUAGUAGAAUGUUGGAACUGUAUUUCCACCCGAAUAGUAGUAUGC